Molecule: long non-coding RNA, 871 nt
Filed under: Ursus maritimus (polar bear)
Lineage: Eukaryota; Metazoa; Chordata; Mammalia; Carnivora; Ursidae
Description: lncRNA (ENSUMAG00000004088.1)
Source: RNAcentral
GUAGAGAAAACAUCCUGUGAAGUGAGAACCAAAAACCACAUCAGUAUGUUCCAUAUAGUUACAGUCAAAUCAAACAAAAUUCUGUCCUAUGAGUUUUGAAAGAUACUAUCAAGCAUGAAGGCAGGGGACUCAUAAAGCUAACGGAUGGAAAUAGCUAUACCAGAUGACCCCUUUCUACACCUGUGUGUAUGCUGCCCCUGCCGUCACUGUUCUGGCAUUAACCGUCAAUUUGUAGGAAGCAGUGUAUGGAUGAAACCAUUACGCCUGCUGUGGCUGGAACAUGGACACAUAAACAGAGGCAGGAUGGCGGUGUUCUGAGAGAUUUAGAGAAAUGACGUUGCCUAUGUCCAGAUCCUCUGGGACUGCCAGUUGGUCUCCUGCCCCUUUAAGAUGAACCGAAGUCCUUCUCCCACCCUAGAAGUGUAGGAGGGUCAUUUCCCUUAAGCCUUGCCUUGCUGUUUGAUCAUCUCUCUGAGAGUUUCUGGUGUUGAGCGCCCCUCUUCCAGGCCUGAUCUACCGAAGGAACUACAUUACCCAGAAAGCUUUGCGUUGAGCGGCAGCGGUAAUAACCCAAUGAAAACCCAGAAAAGGAACAUUUCCGGCAGAGCGAACCGCCUUGAGGCGGGGCUUCCGUCGUUUCUGUGGCGGUCAUUUUAGCGGUUCUGGGGCUUGGGGGCUCGGUAAGAGGAUCCGGAACACGGAUUGGGACCCACGCGACGGACAGAGAAGGUACGAGAGGAGGCUUUGUCCACACUGUAGGGAGGCGGGUCUACUGCUGGGGACAUCGCUGCCUGCGAGGCCUGCAGGCUUCAGUGUCGGCGACUGCCCAGGUCGCUCAGCUGUCAUCACUUCACUUCGCCCAGAACCUCCG